This 495-nucleotide ribosomal RNA is filed under the name uncultured bacterium. RNAcentral's name for it is "partial 16S ribosomal RNA". It matches the Rfam family "Bacterial small subunit ribosomal RNA", at positions 30 to 507 of the family's 1533-position model. The record is from RNAcentral.
UGAACGCUGGCGGCGUGCCUACUACAUGCACGUCGAGCGAACGGACGCGAAGCUUGCUUUUCUGAUGUUAGCGGCGGACGGGUGAGUAACACGUGGAUAACCUACCUAUAAGACUGGGAUAACUUCGGGAAACCGGAGCUAAUACCGGAUAAUAUUUUGAACCGCAUGGUUCAAAAGUGAAAGACGGUCUUGCUGUCACUUAUAGAUGGAUCCGCGCUGCAUUAGCUAGUUGGUAAGGUAACGGCUUACCAAGGCAACGAUGCAUAGCCGACCUGAGAGGGUGAUCGGCCACACUGGAACUGAGACACGGUCCAGACUCCUACGGGAGGCAGCAGUAGGGAAUCUUCCGCAAUGGGCGAAAGCCUGACGGAGCAACGCCGCGUGAGUGAUGAAGGUCUUCGGAUCGUAAAACUCUGUUAUUAGGGAAGAACAUAUGUGUAAGUAACUGUGCACAUCUUGACGGUACCUAAUCAGAAAGCCACGGCUAACUACGUG